GUGGAUUAGAUACCCUGGUAGUCCAUGCCGUAAACGUUGGGCGCUAGGUGUGGGUCCCAUUCCACGGGGUCCGUGCCGCAGCUAACGCAUUAAGCGCCCCGCCUGGGGAGUACGGCCGCAAGGCUAAAACUCAAAGGAAUUGACGGGGGCCCGCACAAGCGGCGGAGCAUGCGGAUUAAUUCGAUGCAACGCGAAGAACCUUACCAAGGCUUGACAUGUACCGGAAACCCUCAGAGAUGGGGGCCCCGCAAGGUCGGUACACAGGUGGUGCACGGCUGUCGUCAACU
RNAcentral lists this ribosomal RNA (287 nucleotides) under uncultured bacterium. Its description in RNAcentral is "partial 16S ribosomal RNA". It matches the Rfam family "Bacterial small subunit ribosomal RNA", at positions 773 to 1060 of the family's 1533-position model. The record is from RNAcentral.